AACGAACGCUGGCGGCAUGCCUAACACAUGCAAGUCGAACGAGACCUUCGGGUCUAGUGGCGCACGGGUGCGUAACGCGUGGGAACCUGCCCUUAGGUUCGGAAUAACUCCCCGAAAGGGGUGCUAAUACCGGAUAAUGUCUUCGGACCAAAGAUUUAUCGCCUUUGGAUGGGCCCGCGUUGGAUUAGCUUGUUGGUAGGGUAAAAGCCUACCAAGGCGACGAUCCAUAGCUGGUCUGAGAGGAUGAUCAGCCACACUGGGACUGAGACACGGCCCAGACUCCUACGGGAGGCAGGAGUGGGGAAUAUUGGACAGCGGGCGAAGGCCUGAUCCAGCAAUGCCGGGUAAGUGAUGAAGGCCGUAGGGUUGUAAAGCUCUUUUACCCGGGAUGAUAAUGACGGUACCGGGAGAAUAAGCACCGGCUAACUCCGUG
Molecule: ribosomal RNA, 433 nt
Filed under: uncultured bacterium
Lineage: Bacteria
Description: partial 16S ribosomal RNA
Rfam family: Bacterial small subunit ribosomal RNA
Source: RNAcentral